RNAcentral lists this ribosomal RNA (305 nucleotides) under uncultured bacterium. RNAcentral's name for it is "bacterial SSU rRNA". It matches the Rfam family "Bacterial small subunit ribosomal RNA", at positions 337 to 659 of the family's 1533-position model. The record is from RNAcentral.
ACCUACGGGGGGCAGCAGUGGGGAAUAUUGCACAAUGGGGGAAACCCUGAUGCAGCAACGCCGCGUGAAGGAAGACGGUUUUCGGAUUGUAAACUUCUGUUCUUAGUGAAGAAAAAUGACGGUACCUGGGGAGGAAGCUCCGGCUAACUACGUGCCAGCAGCCGCGGUAAUACGUAGGGAGCAAGCGUUGUCCGGAAUUACUGGGUGUAAAGGGAGCGUAGGCGGGAUGGCAAGUUGGGUGUUAAAUCUACCGGCUCAACUGGUAGUCGCACUCAAAACUGCUAUUCUUGAGUGAAGUAGAGGCA